UACGAAGGGGGCUAGCGUUGCUCGGAAUUACUGGGCGUAAAGGGCGCGUAGGCGGAUAUUUAAGUCGGGGGUGAAAGCCCAGGGCUCAAUCCUGGAAUUGCCUUCGAUACUGGAUAUCUUGAGUUCGGGAGAGGUGAGUGGAAUGCCGAGUGUAGAGGUGAAAUUCGUAGAUAUUCGGCGGAACACCAGUGGCGAAGGCGACUCACUGGCCCGAUACUGACGCUGAGGCGCGAAAGCGUGGGGAGCAAACAGG
This 253-nucleotide ribosomal RNA is filed under the name uncultured bacterium. Its description in RNAcentral is "partial 16S ribosomal RNA". It matches the Rfam family "Bacterial small subunit ribosomal RNA", at positions 524 to 776 of the family's 1533-position model. The record is from RNAcentral.